RNAcentral lists this ribosomal RNA (352 nucleotides) under uncultured bacterium. Its description in RNAcentral is "bacterial SSU rRNA". It matches the Rfam family "Bacterial small subunit ribosomal RNA", at positions 917 to 1271 of the family's 1533-position model. The record is from RNAcentral.
GGACCCGCACAAGCGGUGGAUGAUGUGGUUUAAUUCGAUGCAACGCGAAGAACCUUACCAGGGUUUGACAUCCUGCGAAUCUCUUGGAAACGAGAGAGUGCCUUCGGGAACGCAGUGACAGGUGGUGCAUGGCUGUCGUCAGCUCGUGUCGUGAGAUGUUGGUUAAGUCCCGCAACGAGCGCAACCCACGUCUUUAGUUGCCAGCAUUUAGUUGGGCACUCUAGAGAGACUGCCGGUGAUAAACCGGAGGAAGGUGUGGAUGACGUCAAGUCAUCAUGCCCCUUACAUCCUGGGCUACACACGUGCUACAAUGGUCGGUACAGAGAGCAGCCACUACGCGAGUAGGAGCGAA